Molecule: long non-coding RNA, 1299 nt
Organism: Bradysia coprophila
Lineage: Eukaryota; Metazoa; Arthropoda; Insecta; Diptera; Sciaridae
Source: RefSeq, a predicted model, not a curated record
AUUCCAUUUUCAAUACUCAGUACAAAACGACAUCUUUCGGAAAAAGGGGAAAAAGCAACUACAACCGGUCUUCUGUGCCAUUUUUCAUUCUGAUGGCAAGACAUAAAAUAGUAACAUCGACUUCCUUAAGAUUUUAGUUUUCGCAAUAAGAACACUUCUAUUCAAUUAGUGCAGUAUACAUUAGAGAAUUGAUAGAAUUGAUAAGUAAAUUUAUAAAAGCAAUAAAGUGGCGAGUAUUCCUUGGAAAAACAACGUAAACGAAAUUUUGGAUCGGAAACUCUCGGUGACCAUGUGUUCCACUAAAUGUCGUAUUACCGUAUUCAGCGUGGGGAAUGUCGAUUUCCAGGCACGGAAUGAGAUUUAUAAAAUACUUUCAACUUGGUGAUUGAAUCAAAUUCCCGAAAUUUCCAAUGGACUAAUAUCCAGACCAUUCCAACCUCAAUUACUGAAGAGGUGUUCGCUUCAUUACUCGUAACCAGCUGGAUGUGAAAAGGCAGUUCGCUGAUAUAGCUGAUUAUGAAACUUGGUCGAAAUAUAACUUCAGGAUAUACUAGAUUCCAAUCACGAACGAAAUGAAACUGGUUGCUGUUGGUUGUGGAGGAUGAGAUCGGGAUGGAGUGCUGAAUUCAGGUUUCAUUUUUCAUUCAAAUCGCAAAAGAUGCUUAACGCGGUGCUGUAGAUAGUGGCCGCUAAGGAAUGGAUUAUUGAAUUCAGAGUAGUAGAACCAAAUCGCGAACAAGAUGAAUUUGCUACUGACGGUGGUGGUGAAGGGCUGAAUUCAGGUAACUGAAAAAAUCAUUUUAUUUCAUGUUCGUUUCCUUUAAAUGAUGAACUCUACGGAUUCCCCAACAUUUCCACGAGUAAAUGAGAAAAAACUGCACUGAAUUAACAAUCUAAAACGAAAAUUUACUCGGAGUUUUGCAGAAAAACUAACAGCCGCUUCUUUAUUGUUUCAGGCCUCGCCGAACUAUGUAAAACUAACUACCACCAAUGCUACCGAGGUUGCUAUCAUAGAAUUUAAAUCCAUUGAAAUGUUUCGCAAUAAAAGACACUGAAUUCGUAAAUCGUUGAAUCUUAUUCAUUAUGUAAGUUUCCUUCAAUUGCAGAAAGACAUGGAUUACUUCUAAAUCUCGACUUUCCAAUGUUAUCAUUAUAUUCGUAAGUGUGGCCAAUCGAAACACAUAUAAUUUGCCCCACGCUGAAUUAUCUUAUCAUUCGCUAAAGAGAAGUAUGAUUAUCAUCCAGACCGAUAAAUGCUAUUCGACUUGGUUCCUAUGGUGACAUUUAACUAAAUUCGGU